This 768-nucleotide ribosomal RNA is filed under the name Lactiplantibacillus plantarum. RNAcentral's name for it is "bacterial SSU rRNA". It matches the Rfam family "Bacterial small subunit ribosomal RNA", at positions 56 to 789 of the family's 1533-position model. The record is from RNAcentral. Lineage: Bacteria; Bacillati; Bacillota; Bacilli; Lactobacillales; Lactobacillaceae.
UGCAAGUCGAACGAACUCUGGUAUUGAUUGGUGCUUGCAUCAUGAUUUACAUUUGAGUGAGUGGCGAACUGGUGAGUAACACGUGGGAAACCUGCCCAGAAGCGGGGGAUAACACCUGGAAACAGAUGCUAAUACCGCAUAACAACUUGGACCGCAUGGUCCGAGCUUGAAAGAUGGCUUUGGCUAUCACUUUUGGAUGGUCCCGCGGCGUAUUAGCUAGAUGGUGGGGUAACGGCUCACCAUGGCAAUGAUACGUAGCCGACCUGAGAGGGUAAUCGGCCACAUUGGGACUGAGACACGGCCCAAACUCCUACGGGAGGCAGCAGUAGGGAAUCUUCCACAAUGGACGAAAGUCUGAUGGAGCAACGCCGCGUGAGUGAAGAAGGGUUUCGGCUCGUAAAACUCUGUUGUUAAAGAAGAACAUAUCUGAGAGUAACUGUUCAGGUAUUGACGGUAUUUAACCAGAAAGCCACGGCUAACUACGUGCCAGCAGCCGCGGUAAUACGUAGGUGGCAAGCGUUGUCCGGAUUUAUUGGGCGUAAAGCGAGCGCAGGCGGUUUUUUAAGUCUGAUGUGAAAGCCUUCGGCUCAACCGAAGAAGUGCAUCGGAAACUGGGAAACUUGAGUGCAGAAGAGGACAGUGGAACUCCAUGUGUAGCGGUGAAAUGCGUAGAUAUAUGGAAGAACACCAGUGGCGAAGGCGGCUGUCUGGUCUGUAACUGACGCUGAGGCUCGAAAGUAUGGGUAGCAAACAGGAUUAGAUACCCUG